AACAUCAUUGUGGCAGAAUACCAGCAUAUACAUGUAAUGUAUCGGGACCUUCACAGGAUAACUUCUUGAGAUGACUGCAAGGCGCAACGUUGCAAAGCUCAUUUCUACAACCUUAAUCACCAAUGACAGGGCAUCACCAUAUCCCUUUGCUGACCAGUUAAAACAGACUACCGCCCUCGAGUCAAAAGGCUGUCCUCAUCGUCCAACACACAGCCGUAACAUCACCCCAGGACUUCAGCCCUCCGGUGAUAUCAUCCUGUCUUUAGAUAAGGGACGACUGCUCUACCCUCCUUAUUUGUACAGCAGUUUGGCAUUUCUUGUCUACUGGAUCAGACGCCCCAUCUGCAGUCCCACUGCAAUCGUUUCAGUCAGGACUGACACUGGCGCAGUCAGCUUCUUAAAACGUGAUGGCCGGUCACAGACCCUGCCAUUCCUACGUCGCAAAGAUUUAGCGUCAUCCUGGUCAGCAAUCCUGCCUUUGUCAACAAUCGUGACGAUAACUAUGCCUAGCCUCUUGACCAAGACUUUUUGAAUGCCACUCUGUAUGGCUAAGCAUACUUUUUUUUUCUUUAUUCAUACUAACAUGUGUUCAUGUCCAUUUUUCCACCUCUGAUUCUUACAUUUAUUUUCUGAUACCACGUUGCUGUGCGAUUUCAGUCUUAUUUUUACUGGUAUGACAAUGUAAACAUAUACUUUUGUUCCACACAAGAUAUUUUUGGAUUUUGUGUCCACUUCCAUGUAAAUACAUGUAUUUUUAUACGAUAAUUUUUGUUUGUGAUGGUUCAAUUCCUUUUUUGCUCUCAUCCCUUUCUUGUUGUAUCUUAUUUCAGGUGAUAGCAUGGAACAGCUUGUGGAAAGGCAUAUUUUGAUUUGUUGCCUGUUGGGAAGAAAGUUUUCUUUUUUUGUUUCACCUAAAUACUUAUGUUUUCUGCAAAGAGGAAUUUCAUUUUUGGUUAAUAAUGUUUUCUUUUUUGCGAACAUCUGAUCUUGGUUUUUAACACAUUCCUAGGUGUGCCAUUUACACUGCUAUUGUAAUCAUAGUUUUGUGACAGAUCAAAACUCAAUUGUUUAAUCAAGGCUUCCAAAUAUAUUCAUUUUUUAUGAUUAUAAUGUCAGUUUAUUUGCAGCAUUUACCCUAUAUAUAGUGGUAACGUACGAUCAACUGUCAAUUUCUACUACAUUCAUUAUACAUAGCAUUGUGUUGCUUGUUGUAACAAAAAGGUAUAGGGCUGUUAGGGAUUAUCCAUAAUAUACAUUGUUUUUAGUUUUGUUGUGAAUAUCUGAGCUUAUAUCUCACUUGCUAUGCAGGGGGCCUAUCAUAUAGACAGUAGGUAUCUUUGUUUAUGUACCUGUGUUAUAUAUGUAUUCCAUUUCUGUUAGACAUAUAUAUACAUGUUAGAAUGCCCUUUUCAGAGAUUUGUACAAGACCUUUUUUUUUAGUAUGUGCUUUUAUUUAGUAUAUCAAAUUUUAUUGGAUAUGCUGUUUUUUAAAUUUAUUUCUUUUAAAAUGUGUUUGAACAUGAUAGGCGAUUACCAUUUGUAAUAUUGUAUUGCUGUUGUUUUUUACAUAGCCUAGGAAGUAGCGUGAUGUUAAGUUUGGUGCAGAAUGUCAUUUACAUGCAUGAAGAUAGGUCUAUGCAAUUUAGCUUUGACUUUGGUUUGAUAAGCUUUGUUUAGUGCUUUGAACAUGAUGUUAACAAUUAAUAGA
Molecule: long non-coding RNA, 1708 nt
Organism: Strongylocentrotus purpuratus (purple sea urchin)
Lineage: Eukaryota; Metazoa; Echinodermata; Echinoidea; Camarodonta; Strongylocentrotidae
Exons: 2
Source: RefSeq, a predicted model, not a curated record